AUACGUAGGGGGCGAGCGUUGUCCGGAAUGAUUGGGCGUAAAGGGCGCGUAGGCGGCCUGUUAAGUCUGGAGUGAAAGUCCUGUUUUCAAGAUGGGAAUUGCUUUGGAUACUGAUGGGCUUGAGUGCAGGAGAGGUUAUCGGAAUUCCCGGUGUAGCGGUGAAAUGCGUAGAGAUCGGGAGGAACACCAGUGGCGAAGGCGGGUAACUGGACUGCAACUGACGCUGAGGCGCGAAAGUGUGGGGAGCAAACAGGAUUAGACACCCUGGUAGUCCACACUGUAAACGAUGAAUGCUAGGUGUAAGAGGUAUCGACCCCUUUUGUGCCGGAGUUAACACAAUAAGCAUUCCGCCUGGGGAGUACGGCCGCAAGGUUGAAACUCAAAUGAAUUGACGGGG
This 397-nucleotide ribosomal RNA is filed under the name uncultured bacterium. RNAcentral's name for it is "partial 16S ribosomal RNA". It matches the Rfam family "Bacterial small subunit ribosomal RNA", at positions 523 to 918 of the family's 1533-position model. The record is from RNAcentral.